This 68-nucleotide transfer RNA is filed under the name Bombyx mandarina (wild silkworm). Its description in RNAcentral is "tRNA-Ala". The record is from RNAcentral. Lineage: Eukaryota; Metazoa; Arthropoda; Insecta; Lepidoptera; Bombycidae.
GGAUUUUAGUUUAAAAAAUAAACAUUUGAUUUGCAAUCAAAAAUUAUUGAAAUAUCAAUUUAUCUUAU